GACGAACGCUGGCGGCGUGCUUAACACAUGCAAGUCGAACGGAAAGGCCCUGCUUUUGUGGGGUGCUCGAGUGGCGAACGGGUGAGUAACACGUGAGUAACCUGCCCUUGACUUUGGGAUAACUUCAGGAAACUGGGGCUAAUACCGGAUAGGAGCUCCUGCUGCAUGGUGGGGGUUGGAAAGUUUCGGCGGUUGGGGAUGGACUCGCGGCUUAUCAGCUUGUUGGUGGGGUAGUGGCUUACCAAGGCUUUGACGGGUAGCCGGCCUGAGAGGGUGACCGGCCACAUUGGGACUGAGAUACGGCCCAGACUCCUACGGGAGGCAGCAGUGGGGAAUAUUGCACAAUGGGCGGAAGCCUGAUACAGCAACGCCGCGUGCGGGAUGACGGCCUUCGGGUUGUAAACCGCUUUCGCCUGUGACGAAGCGUGAGUGACGGUAAUGGGUAAAGAAACACCGGCUAACUACGU
RNAcentral lists this ribosomal RNA (467 nucleotides) under uncultured bacterium. RNAcentral's name for it is "partial 16S ribosomal RNA". It matches the Rfam family "Bacterial small subunit ribosomal RNA", at positions 28 to 506 of the family's 1533-position model. The record is from RNAcentral.